UAGGAUGUGGUGUANUGAGGUAGCACGGAGAAUUUUGAAUUCUCAGGAUUAGGUUCAAGUCCUAUAAUUCUAG
RNAcentral lists this transfer RNA (73 nucleotides) under Nannosciurus melanotis (black-eared squirrel). Its description in RNAcentral is "tRNA-Gln". It matches the Rfam family "tRNA". From Rfam's summary of the family: Transfer RNA (tRNA) molecules are approximately 80 nucleotides in length. Their secondary structure includes four short double-helical elements and three loops (D, anti-codon, and T loops). Further hydrogen bonds mediate the characteristic L-shaped molecular structure. tRNAs have two regions of fundamental functional importance: the anti-codon, which is responsible for specific mRNA codon recognition, and the 3' end, to which the tRNAs corresponding amino acid is attached (by aminoacyl-tRNA synthetases). tRNAs cope with the degeneracy of the genetic code in two manners: having more than one tRNA (with a specific anti-codon) for a particular amino acid; and 'wobble' base-pairing, i.e. permitting non-standard base-pairing at the 3rd anti-codon position. Lineage: Eukaryota; Metazoa; Chordata; Mammalia; Rodentia; Sciuridae. The record is from RNAcentral.